AGCGCCAGCGAUAGAGCGUUGCCGCAGGCAACGACCCGAAGGGCGAAGCGCGCAGCGCUGAGUAAUCCUUCCCCCACCACCA
Molecule: small RNA, 82 nt
Filed under: Escherichia coli
Lineage: Bacteria; Pseudomonadati; Pseudomonadota; Gammaproteobacteria; Enterobacterales; Enterobacteriaceae
Description: partial RtT sRNA
Rfam family: RtT RNA
About the family: This family represents a bacterial cis-regulatory element known as RtT RNA. The exact function of RtT is unknown although it is thought that it may be involved in changing the cellular response in relation to amino acid starvation.
Source: RNAcentral